CUCUGCCCCCGUUACGCUACCACGGUGGAACCAUUCGACGCAUCUGUCUGAACUCUGAAGGUCUCCACCAGGCGUCCAGGCCACCGCCGCCGUCCGCCGAGUGCUAUCGGGCCGCCCCACGGCGCCCGAACACGCCUGGAGGCUUCCUUUCCUUCGGUCGGAAUAUACCAUGGAGGUCAGACCGAUGGUAGCUCUACGUGCUGCCCUAGUUGGUGGGAUAGCAGCAUUUGCAAAGAUCGGUGGGGUGAUGAAAGCCGCAGGAGGUGUCAAGAUUGGUGCAGCUGCUGCGGCUGUGACAGCGGCAGCAUCGGCUGCCAUUUCCGGAAAAGACACAAGCAAAGAUACUCCGAAGGCAGAAACAAAAUGAUCCAGAGGUCCAGAAGAGAAAGGACGCCGUAGUCAAUAAACUACCGGAGCAGUUUUUGAUGCUCCAUGUUUUUUUAAUCUUGGGAAUAAGAAUGACAGUGUUGAGUUUUCCCCAAAUUAUGGUUUACUUCCAUGCAAUAGUUUUGGUUGCUCAAUGUGAUGAGCUACCUGUUACUCACACUGUAUGCCUAACCUGAUUUCUUCUGCCAUACUGUGAGCCAUGAUCUGUUUGCCCUGUGCAUGUAGAUCCUGAAGCUCUUCUGCAGUUUCAUGUGUAGAAUCCUAGUUAUUUACAGUUAGACCAGCAUAUGUACAACUGAGAUAUCUGUAGAUGUAGAAUAUUUUUAAUGUAACAAUGCCUCUGGCUGUAUCUCU
This is a long non-coding RNA of Setaria italica (foxtail millet), 741 nucleotides long. RefSeq lists it as uncharacterized. The record is from RefSeq and is a predicted model, not a curated record. The transcript has 2 exons. NCBI's taxonomy places the organism in Eukaryota, Viridiplantae, Streptophyta, Magnoliopsida, Poales, Poaceae.